GCAAGACCGCGUGGGGGAGGAAGGCCCUUGGGUUGUAAACUCCUUUUCUCGGGGAAGAAGAACUGACGGUACCCGAGGAAAAAGCCCUCGGCUAACUCCGUGCCAGCAGCCGCGGUAAGACGGAGGAGGCAAGCGUUAUCCGGAAUUAUUGGGCGUAAAGGGUCCGCAGGUGGCGGUUCAAGUCUGCAGUCAAAGGUCGGGGCUCAACCCCGAAAAGGCUGUGGAAACUGAACAGCUAGAGUACGGUAGGGGCAGAGGGAAUUCCCAGUGUAGCGGUGAAAUGCGUAAAGAUUGGGAAGAACACCGGUGGCGAAAGCGCUCUGCUAGGCCGAAACUGACACUGAGGGACGAAAGCUAGGGGAGCGAAAGG
Molecule: ribosomal RNA, 370 nt
Filed under: Phormidium sp. ISC 104
Lineage: Bacteria; Bacillati; Cyanobacteriota; Cyanophyceae; Oscillatoriales; Oscillatoriaceae
Description: bacterial SSU rRNA
Rfam family: Bacterial small subunit ribosomal RNA
Source: RNAcentral